CAAAUGGUGGUUUACUUUCGAGAUGCUUUGGUGAGACUUAAUGAUGUCAUUAUACAAGAGAAAUCAGAUGGGAAAUCCAAAAUAAUAUAUCUCAGUUAUUAAAGAUUUUAAUGAUGUCAUUAAAGAAGUGCCAAGAUGGGAAAAGAUAUUGAAGUUUCAUGUAGCAGUGAGAGAACAUACAAGCACUUGUGCAGCAGUGGGAGGAAACAACUCUGGGGGGCCAUCAUAUUUGCCAAAACCUGGCAACUCCAUUCAAUGCAUCCAAAUCAGAGUGAAGAAACUCUUCCAGUAAUCACUGAAGCAGUCAACAGUAAACAGGAUAAGAUGAUCAUUGAAGGAGAUUUUCUAGUGCUAACCACAGCAUUUCAAAAACUCCCCCAUAAACUUCGUUUCUCAUAGACCAUAUAUGUUGAUACCAAUCACUGUCAUUUGCUAAUUGCUGGAAUUUCCACC
Molecule: long non-coding RNA, 453 nt
Organism: Juglans microcarpa x Juglans regia
Lineage: Eukaryota; Viridiplantae; Streptophyta; Magnoliopsida; Fagales; Juglandaceae
Exons: 3
Source: RefSeq, a predicted model, not a curated record